This 511-nucleotide long non-coding RNA is filed under the name Capsicum annuum. Its description in RNAcentral is "long non-coding RNA (CANN_LNC018387)". The record is from RNAcentral. Lineage: Eukaryota; Viridiplantae; Streptophyta; Magnoliopsida; Solanales; Solanaceae.
AACACAUCAACAAGAAGAAGUAAACAUACACAAAGUAAAAUCCUUUCGUGCUCAUUCUCCUUAAGAAAAUAUUAAUUAAUGGGACCGUCUGUUGAGAGGAUGAUCAAUGCGCGUUGUGCUGCUCUCAACAAACAGUGUCUAUCGACAUCUAGUUUUAUUCCGAAGGGUUCUGAUCAUGGACGUUAUGGUAGAAAAAGGCGAUAUCGCAGCGAGAAUAUUUGCCUUAUUUUUGCUGGUGUUACUUUUAUAGCCAUUGUUGUGCCAACUAUGUUUAUGUUUUACGAUGCAAUUUCCAGUUUAUUUGUUUAGUUACGUAGAUUUUAUUUUUCUUAGUUCGUAGAGUUAAGAGGUUAUAUGUUAAAUUACUUUAGAUUUAUGUAAAGAUGGAUUGAUUUAUUUAAUUUGUUUAUUGAUCGAAUUUUCAGUGUUACUUUAUGUGUUUUGGAGUAAUGAGAGGUUUAGAAUGGAAUUGAAUUUGAAAUCUUGAUUUAUAAUAAAUUACGUUUGUAAA